ACAGCAGUAGCCGCGGGAAUACGUAGGUGGCAAGCGUUGUCCGGAAUUAUUGGGCGUAAAGGGCUCGCAGGCGGUUUCUUAAGUCUGAUGUGAAAGCCCCCGGCUCAACCGGGGAGGGUCAUCGGAAACUGGGAAACUUGAGUGCAGAAGAGGAGAGUGGAAUUCCACGUGUAGCGGUGAAAUGCGUAGAGAUGUGGAGGAACACCAGUGGCGAAGGCGACUCUCUGGUCUGUAACUGACGCUGAGGAGCGAAAGCGUGGGGAGCGAACAGGAUUAGAUACCCCCGUAGUCCCUGUCUCUUAUAC
This 305-nucleotide ribosomal RNA is filed under the name uncultured bacterium. RNAcentral describes it as "partial 16S ribosomal RNA". It matches the Rfam family "Bacterial small subunit ribosomal RNA", at positions 506 to 807 of the family's 1533-position model. The record is from RNAcentral.